AGCAGCCGCGGUAAUUCCAGCUCCAAUAGCGUAUAUUAAAGUUGUUGCAGUUAAAAAGCUCGUAGUUGAAUUUCGGGAUCAAUUAAUUGGUCGUGCCUCUGGUACGUACUGGUUUUAUUGGUUUCUCCCUUCUGACGAACCAUGAUGUCAUUAAUUUGGUGUCGUGGAGAAUCAGGACUGUUACUUUGAAAAAUUAGAGUGUUUAAAGCAAGCUAACGCUUGAAUACAUUAGCAUGGAAUAAUGAAAUAGGACGUUUGAUCCUAUUUUGUUGGUUUCUAGGAUCGACGUAAUGAUUAAUAGGGAUAGUUGGGGGCAUUAGUAUUCAAUUGUCAGAGGUGAAAUUCUUGGAUUUAUUGUAAGACUAACUACUGCGAAAGCAUUUGCCAAGGAUGUUUUCAUUAAUCAAGAACGAAAGUUAGGGGAUCGAAGACGAUCAGAUACCGUCGUAGUCUUAACCAUAAACCUAAUGCCGACUAGGGAUCGGAUGAUGUUAAUUUUUAAUGUACUCA
This 510-nucleotide ribosomal RNA is filed under the name uncultured Glomus. RNAcentral's name for it is "SSU rRNA". It matches the Rfam family "Eukaryotic small subunit ribosomal RNA", at positions 569 to 1078 of the family's 1831-position model. The record is from RNAcentral. Lineage: Eukaryota; Fungi; Glomeromycota; Glomeromycetes; Glomerales; Glomeraceae.